Molecule: ribosomal RNA, 497 nt
Filed under: uncultured bacterium
Lineage: Bacteria
Description: partial 16S ribosomal RNA
Rfam family: Bacterial small subunit ribosomal RNA
Source: RNAcentral
GAUGAACGCUGGCGGCGUGCCUAAUACAUGCAAGUCGAGCGAACAGACGAGGAGCUUGCUCCUCUGACGUUUGCGGCGGACGGGUGAGUAACACGUGGAUAACCUACCUAUAAGACUGGGAUAACUUCGGGAAACCGGAGCUAAUACCGGAUAAUAUAUUGAACCGCAUGGUUCAAUAGUGAAAGACGGUUUUGCUGUCACUUAUAGAUGGAUCCGCGCCGCAUUAGCUAGUUGGUAAGGUAACGGCUUACCAAGGCAACGAUGCGUAGCCGACCUGAGAGGGUGAUCGGCCACACUGGAACUGAGACACGGUCCAGACUCCUACGGGAGGCAGCAGUAGGGAAUCUUCCGCAAUGGGCGAAAGCCUGACGGAGCAACGCCGCGUGAGUGAUGAAGGUCUUCGGAGCGUAAAACUCUGUUAUUAGGGAAGAACAAAUGUGUAAGUAACUAUGCACGUCUUGACGGUACCUAAUCAGAAAGCCACGGCUAACUACGUG